UACGGGGGGGGGCAAGCGUUGUUCGGAAUUACUGGGCGUAAAGGGUUUGUAGGUGGCUCGCUAAGUCAGACGUGAAAUCCCUCAGCUUAACUGGGGAACUGCGUCUGAGACUGGCGAGCUUGAGUGCAGGAGAGGAACGCGGAAUUCCAGGUGUAGCGGUGAAAUGCGUAGAUAUCUGGAGGAACACCGGUGGCGAAGGCGGCGUUCUGGACUGCAACUGACACUGAGAAACGAAAGCCAGGGGAGCAAACGGG
RNAcentral lists this ribosomal RNA (254 nucleotides) under uncultured bacterium. RNAcentral's name for it is "partial 16S ribosomal RNA". It matches the Rfam family "Bacterial small subunit ribosomal RNA", at positions 524 to 776 of the family's 1533-position model. The record is from RNAcentral.